GAUGAACGCUAGCUACAGGCUUAACACAUGCAAGUCGAGGGGCAGCAUUCUUGUAGCAAUACAAGAAAUGGCGACCGGUGCACGGGUGAGUAACACGUAUCCAACCUGCCUUCAACUCGGGGAUAGCCUUUCGAAAGAAAGAUUAAUACCCGAUGGCAUAGCAAUUCCGCAUGGUGUUGCUAUUAAAGAAUUUCGGUUGAAGAUGGGGAUGCGUUCCAUUAGAUUGUUGGCGGGGUAACGGCCCACCAAGUCGACGAUGGAUAGGGGUUCUGCGAGGAAGGUCCCCCAACUUGGAACCGAGACACGGUCCAAACCCGUAGGGGAGGCAGCAGUGAGGAAUAUUGGUCAAUGGGCGAGAGCCUGAACCAGCCAAGUAGCGUGAAGGAUGACGGCCCUAUGGGUUGUAAACUUCUUUUGUGUGAGAAUAAAGUGAGCCACGUGUGGCUUUUUGUAUGUACCAUACGAAUAAGGAUCGGCUAACUCCGUGCCAGCCGCCGCCGUAA
This 503-nucleotide ribosomal RNA is filed under the name uncultured bacterium. Its description in RNAcentral is "partial 16S ribosomal RNA". It matches the Rfam family "Bacterial small subunit ribosomal RNA", at positions 28 to 523 of the family's 1533-position model. The record is from RNAcentral.